RNAcentral lists this microRNA (21 nucleotides) under Picea abies (Norway spruce). RNAcentral describes it as "pab-miR3710c". The record is from miRBase by way of RNAcentral. Lineage: Eukaryota; Viridiplantae; Streptophyta; Pinopsida; Pinales; Pinaceae.
CGUGGGGAACCUGACGGGCCU